RNAcentral lists this ribosomal RNA (671 nucleotides) under uncultured Lactococcus sp. RNAcentral describes it as "bacterial SSU rRNA". It matches the Rfam family "Bacterial small subunit ribosomal RNA", at positions 28 to 674 of the family's 1533-position model. The record is from RNAcentral. Lineage: Bacteria; Bacillati; Bacillota; Bacilli; Lactobacillales; Streptococcaceae.
GACGAACGCCGGCGGCGUGCCUAAUACAUGCAAGUUGAACGCUUGAUUUUCACCGAAGCUUGCUUCACCGAAAAUCAAGAGUAGCGAACGGGUGAGUAACGCGUGGGUAACCUACCUAUCAGCGGGGGAUAACUAUUGGAAACGAUAGCUAAUACCGCAUAACAAUGUUGGAUGCAUAUUCGACAUUUGAAAGUACCAAAUGGUACACUGAGAGAUGGACCCGCGUUGUAUUAGCUAGUUGGUAGUGUAAUGGACUACCAAGGCGAUGAUACAUAGCCGACCUGAGAGGGUGAUCGGCCACAUUGGGACUGAGACACGGCCCAAACUCCUACGGGAGGCAGCAGUAGGGAAUCUUCGGCAAUGGACGAAAGUCUGACCGAGCAACGCCGCGUGAGUGAAGAAGGUUUUCGGAUCGUAAAACUCUGUUGUUAGAGAAGAACGUUGCAUAGAGUGGAAAAUUAUGCAAGUGACGGUAUCUAACCAGAAAGGGACGGCUAACUACGUGCCAGCAGCCGCGGUAAUACGUAGGUCCCGAGCGUUGUUCGGAUUUAUUGGGCGUAAAGCGAGCGCAGGUGGUUUAAUAAGUCUGAUGUAAAAGGCAGUGGCUCAACCAUUGUGUGCAUUGGAAACUGUUAGACUUGAGUGCAGUAGAGGAGAGUGGAAUUCCAUGU